AUGUUGGCCGGGCGACGGUUGUCCCGGUUUAAGCGUGUAGGCUGGUUUUCCAGGCAAAUCCGGAAAAUCAAGGCUGAGGCGUGAUGACGAGGCACUACGGUGCUGAAGCAACAAAUGCCCUGCUUCCAGGAAAAGCCUCUAAGCAUCAGGUAACAUCAAAUCGUACCCCAAACCGACACAGGUGGUCAGGUAGAGAAUACCAAGGCGCUUGAGAGAACUCGGGUGAAGGAACUAGGCAAAAUGGUGCCGUAACUUCGGGAGAAGGCACGCUGACACGUAGGUGAAGUGAUUUACUCAUGGAGCUGAAGUCAGUCGAAGAUACCAGCUGGCUGCAACUGUUUAUUAAAAACACAGCACUGUGCAAACACGAAAGUGGACGUAUACGGUGUGACGCCUGCCCGGUGCCGGAAGGUUAAUUGAUGGGGUCAGCGCAAGCGAAGCUCCUGAUCGAAGCCCCGGUAAACGGCGGCCGUAACUAUAACGGUCCUAAGGUAGCGAAAUUCCUUGUCGGGUAAGUUCCGACCUGCACGAAUGGCGUAAUGAUGGCCAGGCUGUCUCCACCCGAGACUCAGUGAAAUUGAACUCGCUGUGAAGAUGCAGUGUACCCGCGGCAAGACGGAAAGACCCCGUGAACCUUUACUAUAGCUUGACACUGAACAUUGAGCCUUGAUGUGUAGGAUAGGUGGGAGGCUUUGAAGCGUGGACGCCAGUCUGCGUGGAGCCGGCCUUGAAAUACCACCCUUUAAUGUUUGAUGUUCUAACGUGGACCCGUGAUCCGGGUUGCGGACAGUGUCUGGUGGGUAGUUUGACUGGGGCGGUCUCCUCCUAAAGAGUAACGGAGGAGCACGAAGGUUGGCUAAUCCUGGUCGGACAUCAGGAGGUUAGUGCAAUGGCAUAAGCCAGCUUGACUGCGAGCGUGACGGCGCGAGCAGGUGCGAAAGCAGGUCAUAGUGAUCCGGUGGUUCUGAAUGGAAGGGCCAUCGCUCAACGGAUAAAAGGUACUCCGGGGAUAACAGGCUGAUACCGCCCAAGAGUUCAUAUCGACGGCGGUGUUUGGCACCUCGAUGUCGGCUCAUCACAUCCUGGGGCUGAAGUAGGUCCCAAGGGUAUGGCUGUUCGCCAUUUAAAGUGGUACGCGAGCUGGGUUUAGAACGUCGUGAGACAGUUCGGUCCCUAUCUGCCGUGGGCGCUGGAGAACUGAGGGGGGCUGCUCCUAGUACGAGAGGACCGGAGUGGACGCAUCACUGGUGUUCGGGUUGUCAUGCCAAUGGCACUGCCCGGUAGCUAAAUGCGGAAGAGAUAAGUGCUGAAAGCAUCUAAGCACGAAACUUGCCCCGA
This 1338-nucleotide ribosomal RNA is filed under the name Salmonella enterica. RNAcentral describes it as "partial 23S ribosomal RNA". It matches the Rfam family "Bacterial large subunit ribosomal RNA", at positions 1484 to 2802 of the family's 2925-position model. Lineage: Bacteria; Pseudomonadati; Pseudomonadota; Gammaproteobacteria; Enterobacterales; Enterobacteriaceae. The record is from RNAcentral.